AAAAUGUUGCUGCUGGGUUUCUUCAUUCAGCUUGCGUUGAUGCAAAUGGCUCCAUUUUUGUAUUUGGUGAAAGAGCAAUUGGUAGAUUGGGUUUUGGAGAGGCAAAUAAUGCUGCAACACCAUCCAUGAUAGCUGAAUGCCCAUGGUCCAAUGAAGUUGCAUGUGGUGGAUAUCACACAUGUGUUAUCACAAGUGGUGGAGAACUGUAUGCUUGGGGAUCCAACGAAAAUGGUUGCCUUGGUGUCGGCAGUUCUACUAACGCCUUUCAUUUCCCAGANAGGUCCUUUUUCAAGAUCUCCGGUUGAAAAGGUUUCCUGUGGUUGGAAGCACACAGCUGCAAUUUCUGAAGGCAACAUCUACACCUGGGGUUGGGGAGGUUCUCAUGGAACAUUUUCUGAAGAUGGGCAUUCUUCUGGCGGACAAUUGGGCCAUGGGAGUGAUGUCGACUACGGGAACCCCACAAUGGUCACAUUUGAAAAGAAUGUGAAAGCUCUGCAAGUGUCUUGUGGAUUCAAUCACACAGGUGCCAUACUUGAGAGCGCUGAAACUUAGGCCAGUCUCUUCUUUUGUGCAUGCAUGUC
RNAcentral lists this unclassified non-coding RNA (581 nucleotides) under Hevea brasiliensis (rubber tree). The record is from RNAcentral. Lineage: Eukaryota; Viridiplantae; Streptophyta; Magnoliopsida; Malpighiales; Euphorbiaceae.